UACGUAGGGGGCAAGCGUUGUCCGGAAUCAUUGGGCGUAAAGAGCGUGUAGGCGGCUCGAUAAGUCUGCUGUGAAAGUCCAGGGCUCAACCCUGGAAGGCCGGUGGAAACUGUCGGGCUAGAGUCCGGAAGAGGCGAGUGGAAUUCCCGGUGUAGCGGUGAAAUGCGCAGAUAUCAGGAGGAACACCGGUGGCGAAGGCGGGUCUCUGGGCCGAUACUGACGCUGAGGAGCGAAAGCGUGGGGAGCGAACAGG
RNAcentral lists this ribosomal RNA (253 nucleotides) under uncultured bacterium. RNAcentral's name for it is "partial 16S ribosomal RNA". It matches the Rfam family "Bacterial small subunit ribosomal RNA", at positions 524 to 776 of the family's 1533-position model. The record is from RNAcentral.